RNAcentral lists this unclassified non-coding RNA (144 nucleotides) under soil metagenome. RNAcentral's name for it is "partial internal transcribed spacer 1". The record is from RNAcentral.
UCAAAAACAGCGGACUUCGGUCCUUGCUGCACCCUUGUCUUUUGCGCACCGUAUUGUUUUCCUCGGCGGGCUUGCCUGCCGGUUGGACAUUAUCAAAAACCUUUUUGUAGUUGCAAUCAGCGUCAGAAAAAACAAUAAUUAUUA